UGGGGAAUAUUGCACAAUGGGCGCAAGCCUGAUGCAGCGACGCCGCGUGAGGGAUGACGGCCUUCGGGUUGUAAACCUCUUUCAGUAGGGAAGAAGCGAAAGUGACGGUACCUGCAGAANAAGCGCCGGCUAACUACGUG
Molecule: ribosomal RNA, 140 nt
Filed under: uncultured bacterium
Lineage: Bacteria
Description: partial 16S rRNA
Rfam family: Bacterial small subunit ribosomal RNA
Source: RNAcentral